This 324-nucleotide unclassified non-coding RNA is filed under the name uncultured Eurotiomycetes. Its description in RNAcentral is "sequence contains ITS1". The stretch from base 1 to 105 matches the Rfam family "5.8S ribosomal RNA", at positions 50 to 154 of the family's 154-position model. Lineage: Eukaryota; Fungi; Ascomycota; Eurotiomycetes. The record is from RNAcentral.
GAAAUGCGAUAAGUAAUGUGAAUUGCAGAAUUCCGUGAAUCAUCGAAUCUUUGAACGCACAUUGCGCCCUCUGGUAUUCCGGGGGGCAUGCCUGUCCGAGCGUCAUUGCGAACCCCUCAAGCACGGCUUGUGUGAUGGGCCUCCGCGUCCCCCGGCUCCGGGGGACGGGCCCGAAAUGCAGUGGCGGCGUCGCGGUAAUCCGAUCAGCCCGAACGUAUGGGGACCUUCGUCACACGUUCAGCGGUGCGGACCGACGCCUCGCCUACUUUUGAACUCUCUUUAUCCGUUGACCUCGGAUCAGGUAGGGAUACCCGCUGAACUUAA